RNAcentral lists this ribosomal RNA (791 nucleotides) under uncultured archaeon. Its description in RNAcentral is "bacterial SSU rRNA". It matches the Rfam family "Archaeal small subunit ribosomal RNA", at positions 85 to 878 of the family's 1478-position model. The record is from RNAcentral.
ACUGCUCAGUAACACGUGGAUAACCUACCCUUGGGACAGGGAUAAACCCGGGAAACUGGGUAUAAUACCCGAUAAGCCUCGAAUGCUGGAAUGCGUCGAGGCUGAAAGCUCCGGCGCCCAAGGAUGGGUCUGCGGCCUAUCAGGUAGUAGUGGGUGUAAUGGACCUACUAGCCUACAACGGGUACGGGUUGUGAGAGCAAGAGCCCGGAGAUGGAUUCUGAGACACGAAUCCAGGCCCUGCGGGGUGCAGCAGGCGCGAAACCUUUACAAUGCUGGCAACAGCGAUAGGGGGACCUCGAGUGCCAGGUUACAAAUCUGGCUGUCGUUGUGUCUAAAAAACACGAUAUAGCAAGGGCCGGGCAAGACCGGUGCCAGCCGCCGCGGUAACACCGGCGGCUCGAGUGGUGACCGCUAUUAUUGGGUUUAAAGGGUCUGUAGCCGGCCUGGUUAGUCCUUUGGGAAAUCCGGCAGCUCAACUGUCGGGCUUCAGAGGAUACUGCCAGGCUCGAGACCGGGAGAGGUAAGAGGUACUUCAGGGGUAGGGGUGAAAUCUUGUAAUCCUUGAAGGACCACCAGUGGCGAAGGCGUCUUACCAGAACGGGUUCGACGGUGAGGGACGAAAGCUGGGGGCACGAACCGGAUUAGAUACCCGGGUAGUCCCAGCCGUAAACGAUGCUCGCUAGGUGUCAGGCAUGGCGCGACCGUGUCUGGUGCCGCAGGGAAGCCGUGAAGCGAGCCACCUGGGAAGUACGGCCGCAAGGCUGAAACUUAAAGGAAUUGGCGGGGGAGCA